RNAcentral lists this long non-coding RNA (790 nucleotides) under Gallus gallus (chicken). The record is from RNAcentral. Lineage: Eukaryota; Metazoa; Chordata; Aves; Galliformes; Phasianidae.
GGGAAGGGCUCCGCCAUCUUUUUCCAUAGCACCGUGGAGGUGCGGGGCUGCGCCCAUCGUGUGCGGGGAGAGGGGCAGAGAAGGGCCGGGCUGAGGGCACAGCGGUGCCGGCGGAGCGCUCUUCAUAGCGAGGACCUCACGGAGGGGUCGUGGCGGAAAGAUGAAAAACAGCGCCACGCCGCAGUGGGCACCUCUGAAAGCGCUCAGUCGCAGUCGGAAAGCCGUCUGGGAACGCUGCCCACAGUUCUCGCAGUAAUGACUCAGUCGGGAGGAGGGGCGGAAAUGGGGGAGGUUCCGCAGUACUGUUCCUGUUUGUCUUUGGUCUGUGGAAGAGCGGGCAAGCUGCCCAGGAUGACUGCGGGUUGUAAGAGACUAUUCUUUUAUAUCAUUUGACUCAAAGUUUGCCGAGGAGCAAGUCCAGGCAAGUCCUGGGCAAAGGUAGAGAAAUCUUCCUUCUGGAGGACACUGAUGGACGGGUCCUGGCUGAGGGUUGUGAAAUCCUCCAAGGAGCACAGAUGGACACGGCCAGGGGCAGCGAGAGAGAGAUGAGCUGCUGAUAACGGCCGGGAAACGGUCUUUGUGUGUGGGCUUACCUCGAGGAAGAUGGCCAUCUCAGGAGGUACGCACAGGGCUCUUGCUCAAGCACCCAGGGGUGUCAGUAGGCAGCAGAAAAUGGAGGAUAAAAGAGGGGCCAACAACCCCGACAGAUUGGGAGGGGUUUUCUGCCAUCAGAUCCCUCACCACGACGGACUGAGAGGGGUUUUCUGCCAUCAGAUCCCUCACCACGACG